Long non-coding RNA from Bombus pyrosoma, 2596 nucleotides. RefSeq lists it as uncharacterized. Lineage: Eukaryota; Metazoa; Arthropoda; Insecta; Hymenoptera; Apidae. The record is from RefSeq and is a predicted model, not a curated record. The transcript has 2 exons.
UACAACAGAUAUAUUCGAGUUGCAUAUCACUUUCCUUCACUAACAAGUCUUUUCUUCUAGUUGUUUUCUUACUAUCGUCCUGUUUUAUUUCGUUUCUUUUUUCUGUUAUUAAAUUUUAUCCGAUACUUUACCCAAUUGCUUUCGAAUCUUUAUACAUUAUUUUCCACUGAAUUUUCGAAUGCAACCUUCCUUAUUGAUUAUGUUUAUAUUAUCUUUACGAACGUUUGAAGCGAUUGAUUAAUUAGGAUCGAUAGAUUUUAUACGAAUAGAUACAUAUCUUCCACAGAAAUAGCGGUCGAUCGAGGCUCAUGUUCACGUGACAAUAUAAUGUUGAGAAAAUCUAGCAAGUGAAUGGCUUCGCAUCAAUGUGAAACCUUUGCGAGGUAAAACAAUGCUGCGAAGUCAGCAACAAUUGCACAGUACCAUUUACAACGAUUUCCAGUUUCUGCCAUUGAUUUAAGCUAAAUUAAAUAUUCCUAUCGUCACACACGUUUCUCAUUUCAUUGAUACGCGAGAAUAAAUAUUUGAAUUUGAUUGCUUUAAAUACUCCUUUCGCUAAUUUACAUGUCGACAUUAACAAGUUGGAAAGUAUCAAAAAAGAAAUUUGGAUAUUAUUAGAAAGUAAUCUUGAAAAAUUAGUCAAGAUCGAAUAAAAGUUUCUUAGUUCUAAGCUUAUUAAAUAUUUUCGUAUUAAAUUUUUUUAAUGAAAUUUUUUUUUCAGUAAUAAUCGAAUCAUUAUGCUGUUGAAGAAAUAGGGCACGGGAAUUGAAUGAACAAAGAAGAUAUCGCCUCUUUGAUGGCGAUAUUAUUACCCUGACAUUUGAAUCGUGCGAGUACCGGAAGUAUUAGUUUCACCAUAACGCUCUUGCCUUUGUUAUAAAAAGAACAGGCUGUUUAUUGACCCGAGCGUCUUGCAAUUUAAUAACGCGUAUAUAAUUUGCUUUUCUAUAAGUAAGUUCCAAGUUAUUACAACUUUUUAUUAAUAUUUCUCUCUUUCUCCCUAAAAAUUAUAAAACUUAAUAAACUAUAGAGAGUCAACUAGAAUAUGCGAUACUCAGUUCUUAAUUCAGAUCAUUGCAACCUAUCAUGGAUUCCAUUGUGUUCAUAGAAUCCAUUGUUCUUUAAACCACUUUCAACAGGUUUCUAGUAAUAAAUCUUUUAUGCGAUAUCGACUGUCCGAUUUGCGAAAGCAGCGACAGAGUUGAAUAAUAGUGUUUUAAUAGAGUGCAAAGCGAAGAUGUAAUCGUUAAAUAAUUGACUAGAGUCUGCCAAGAGAAAGGAAUAUGUACGUAUGUACUUGGCUCGAAUCCGGAAGUUGGCGUCUGGCACGUGUCGCCAUGAAUUUUGCGGUUUAUCCUUUGAAGCAACCGUAUCUGUACUCGAGCCAAAUGGUAAACAAUCGGUCAGAUAAUGCCAGACGUAAUCCCAUUUUAUAAUGUUACGUAACAAAGCACUCGAUCGAAUGUCACGGAAAGAAAUUUUCACUCGGAAUGAUUUAAGAUUCUGUAAAUAAUUCAACGUUGAUAACACAUUGAUAUCAUAAAUAAUUGAUAACUACGUUGCGUGUUCCUUUACCGUAAAAAGGUACAGUAAGGUGAAAAAAUUUCUAGACUAUUGUUUGAAUCUUGUUUGCCUGUUUAAGCUCUGUCGCUUUUGUUUCCUAUUGUAUUUUUGUUUCAAGCUAAAUCCUAACUGUCUGGGAAUUUUUGGACAGCCUUGUUUAUUUAGAUUUUGGUACUUUUCCUCGAUUUUGCAAUAAACAGGGAUACCGCUGAAUUUUUAAACCUAUUUAAUUUAAGUAGUUUCUUUCUGUUGUGCAAUUUAUUGCAUCAUAUCUACUAAUUAGCGUCUCCAGGCAAAUUUCGCUCCGAUUGAUUUAAAUGCAAACUCUAGAGAGAUUAGCAAGGAUUUAAUUCCUGCUUUCUUAUUUGACUCCUUUUUUUUUAAUUAAGAAAUGAUUGAAACGUCUUUAAUUAAAAAGAAUUCUUAAAAUAUAUUGCGGUAUCCUAAAUUGCUUUCAACUGUUUUUCGCUCUUUGUCUGAGAAAAUUUCGUUACUUAUACGACACAGAAGUAUUCAAAAUGUAAUUUCCAUGAAAUUAUUACCCACUUAUUAAACGUUUAUUUCUUUCGACAGAGUGAGUCGUCAUCUACCACAUAUGAAACGAUAUAAAUCCAAUAAAAUCGUAACGAAACAAAUAUCAAAAUAAGAAGGGGAACAAAUACUUUAACGUCAAGAGAAAAAUAAAGAAAACAGGAAAUAUUCAAAUAAAGUAUCCACAGUACUCGUUACAGUAUUCAGAGAGUAAAAUAAAUCCCUACAUAAUUUCCAUUCCUUCAAUUAUGUUCAUAAAAAUACAAAUUCGUAUAGACAAGCCCACACUCUAAUUAUUAUCACUCAUAGGACGAAGUUCUCAAACAAGGAGCGAUCGUUUGUUUAUGAAAGCGUCGCCAGUAAAAAGAUAAAGCGAUUACGUACCGAAAGGCCUGAUUGGAUGUCGGCUCCACAGAUAGCUACGUUUAACAGGACUGAGGUAACUGUCCCUCAGAUAAAACGGGGUAACUCUCGCAGCAUAGUUGGGAAUAUAGGGAGCAAA